AACAAGCAUGGCAUCCUGGAUGCAAGGCCACAGGUUUAGGGCUUCUUAAUUUUCUGAUUAAGGGAUGAGUGAUCCCAGAACCUAGAAUGGCAUUGAGAUUGGUGUCUCUGACUGUUUGAAAUAAAGGGGAUGUGAGGGACAGAAGGGAAGCCAGGGACCAGAUUAGCAAACAUGUCACUGCAUCAGUUCAGUAGAAGGACAGUCAUACCAACCCCCAUACAAGUAGAUUUAGUCACCGAAGUGCCAACUACCCAUCAUCAGGUGGAGAUGUUGGAGAAGUAACAUGAUUACAAUCCAUGAUAAGAUCACAGUACAUAGAGGAUAUUAAAGGAGCAGAAUCAAAGGUGAAUAGACUAGGAGUCAGAGAAGACAAUCUCUAAGUGGAAACACAAGUUAAGUCUUAAAGAACAAAGCAAUAGACAUUAAAAAGGAGAGGUAAUAGUUUAUCAAGCAGCAGAAACAGCAUGUUGUAAGAGACAAAUACAUGGGAACCAAAACCCAGCUUAAUUUUCUAACAUGGUUUUUUUUCCCCCCAGUGGAGUUUUGUUUUUUCCCUAGCAUGAAGACCUAGAUUUUUAAACCUGUUCUGGACUCUCACACUGACCAGAGUACCUGUGCCAUCUGCUUGGCUAACACUGAGCCAGAUUUCACCUGCAUCAAUACUGAAAGCCACGAGACAUUUUGGGCACAUUUUGCAUGGAAGUGAUGAGCACUGUGCUCUGACGACAGCAGCAUUUCUCCUUGUACACAAAGGCAGUACAAGCCAGUGAGCAGAGAGAGAAAAGCCGCAUACAUGCAAAGCUUCACAGAUGAGAAAUGGCAGACGUGUUCUGGAGCUUUCCGUUUCCCGUUCCUUUUUGAAGCCUGGUCACCCUCCUGUCUUUGCUUCUAUGAGGAUGGAUGCAUAACUAAUAGUUCCUACCGAGUGUGUGGGUGCAUGAGGGCAUGUAAGCACAUGUGCACCAGACACUGUGCUGGGUGUUUCAGAUGCCUCAGCUUGAUUCCUUCAAACAAGUCCAAGUGGUAGGUUCUGUUAUUAUCUCCAUAGCAUAGUUGAGGAAACAAAAGUAUCUUGUCCAAGGUCACAAAGCUAGUAUGCAGGAAAGCCAGAAAUGGAAUCUGGCUUGGCUCCUUCAGACCCUGGAGCCCUGACUGAUACUGUCUCUGGGAUGGACCACAGGAAAAGCCAUCUGAAGGAGGAAAAUAAAAAGUGAGCCCUUUUGCUAGAGCA
This 1231-nucleotide long non-coding RNA is filed under the name Vulpes vulpes (red fox). RNAcentral's name for it is "lncRNA (ENSVVUG00000019724.1)". Lineage: Eukaryota; Metazoa; Chordata; Mammalia; Carnivora; Canidae. The record is from RNAcentral.